Molecule: ribosomal RNA, 451 nt
Filed under: Streptomyces subrutilus
Lineage: Bacteria; Bacillati; Actinomycetota; Actinomycetes; Kitasatosporales; Streptomycetaceae
Description: bacterial SSU rRNA
Rfam family: Bacterial small subunit ribosomal RNA
Source: RNAcentral
CUCCUUUAGAGUUUUGAUCCUGGCUCAGGACGAACGCUGGCGGCGUGCUUAACACAUGCAAGUCGAACGAUGAAGCCCUUCGGGGUGGAUUAGUGGCGAACGGGUGAGUAACACGUGGGCAAUCUGCCCUUCACUCUGGGACAAGCCCUGGAAACGGGGUCUAAUACCGGAUAACACUCCUGCCUGCAUGGGUGGGGGUUAAAAGCUCCGGCGGUGAAGGAUGAGCCCGCGGCCUAUCAGCUUGUUGGUGGGGUAAUGGCCCACCAAGGCGACGACGGGUAGCCGGCCUGAGAGGGCGACCGGCCACACUGGGACUGAGACACGGCCCAGACUCCUACGGGAGGCAGCAGUGGGGAAUAUUGCACAAUGGGCGAAAGCCUGAUGCAGCGACGCCGCGUGAGGGAUGACGGCCUUCGGGUUGUAAACCUCUUUCAGCAGGGAAGAAGCGAAA